CCUACGGGAGGCAGCAGUGAGGAAUAUUUGUCAAUGGACGAGAGUCUGAACCAGCCAAGUAGCGUGAAGGAUGACUGCCCUAUGGGUUGUAAACUUCUUUUAUAUGGGAAUAAAACGUUCCACGUGUGGGAUUUUGUAUGUACCAUAUGAAUAAGGAUCGGCUAACUCCGUGCCAGCAGCCGCGGUAAUACGGAGGAUCCGAGCGUUAUCCGGAUUUAUUGGGUUUAAAGGGAGCGUAGGUGGAUUGUUAAGUCAGUUGUGAAAGUUUGCGGCUCAACCGUAAAAUUGCAGUUGAAACUGGCAGUCUUGAGUACAGUAGAGGUGGGCGGAAUUCGUGGUGUAGCGGUGAAAUGCUUAGAUAUCACGAAGAACUCCGAUUGCGAAGGCAGUUCACUGGACUGCAACUGACACUGAGGCUCGAAAGUGUGGGUAUCAAACAGGAUUAGAUACCCGUGUAGUC
RNAcentral lists this ribosomal RNA (460 nucleotides) under uncultured bacterium. RNAcentral describes it as "partial 16S ribosomal RNA". It matches the Rfam family "Bacterial small subunit ribosomal RNA", at positions 338 to 795 of the family's 1533-position model. The record is from RNAcentral.